Molecule: long non-coding RNA, 492 nt
Organism: Oncorhynchus keta (chum salmon)
Lineage: Eukaryota; Metazoa; Chordata; Actinopteri; Salmoniformes; Salmonidae
Exons: 4
Source: RefSeq, a predicted model, not a curated record
UGUGUUCUAAAACCCUUGAAUGAGUAGGUGUUCUAAAACCCUUGAAUGAGUAGGUGUUCUAAAACCCUUGAAUGAGUAGGUGUUCUAAAACCCUUGAAUGAGUAGGUGUUCUAAAACCCUUGAAUGAGUAGGUGUUCUAAAACCCUUGAAUGAGUAGGUGUUCUAAAACCCUUGAAUGAGUAGGUGUUCUAAAACCCUGGAAUGAGUAGGUGUUCUAAAACCCUGGAAUGAGUAGGUGUUCUAAAACCCUUGAAUGAGUAGGUGUUCUAAAACCCUUGAAUGAGUAGGUGUUCUAAAACCCUUGAAUGAGUAGGUGUUCUAAAACCCUUGAAUGAGUAGGUGUUCUAAAACCCUGGAAUGAGUAGGUGUUCUAAAACCCUUGAAUGAGUAGGUGUUCUAAAACCCUGGAAUGAGUAGGUGUUCUAAAACCCUGGAAUGAGUAGGUGUUCUAAAACCCUUGAAUGAGUAGGUGUUCUAAAACCCUUGAAUGAG